This 937-nucleotide long non-coding RNA is filed under the name Malus domestica (apple). RNAcentral describes it as "long non-coding RNA (MDOM_LNC017831)". Lineage: Eukaryota; Viridiplantae; Streptophyta; Magnoliopsida; Rosales; Rosaceae. The record is from RNAcentral.
CGAAUGAUAGAUUACACCUUUCAAGAUGACUUGGUAAAUGUUCAAUUGGUUCAAUGUUUUAGUGGAUCAGCAUAUUAACAAUUGAAUGUGUAAACUGCAGACAUCAAAGCCGGAAUACAGUCAGAUUCUCGUAAAAAAGCCCGGUGGCGUUAGUAUUUGGCCUUACUAGCGGAAUAUCUCAUCGUUGGAUAAACAUUUGGUAUAUCAUUCGGAUUUUCUUGUACUUUUUUGUAACACAACAGAUUAUCUUGCCAUCCUUCUAUUUUUAUUUGCAAAUCCUUCUUAUAUACCUUUGUAGUGAUCAUGGACUGCAUUUCUUAAUCCCUCCUAUCAACUUUUUUGUGAUUCAUUCCUUGCUACUUGGUCUCAAUCCUUUGGAACUUGGCAAUCCCUCAACCAGAAAAAAGCCUUAAGGAUUUUUUUUCCAGUUUCAACGUGUUUUUCGUGUCCUUUUCUUUUUGUCGAAUAACCUGCAUUUAGUAUCUCCCGAAUGAUAGAUUACACCUUUCAAGAUGACUUGGUAAAUGUUCAAUUGGUUAAAUGUUUUAGUGGAUCAGCAUCUUAACAAUUGAAUGUGUAAACUGCAGACAUCAAAGCCGGAAUACAGUCAGAUUCUCGUAAAAAAGCCCGGCGGCGUUAGUAUUUGGCCUUACUAGCGGGAUAUCUCAUCGUUGGAUAAACAUUUGGUAUAUCAUUCGGAUUUUCUUGUACCUUUUUUGUAACACAACAGAUUAUCUUGCCAUCCUUCUAUUUUUAUUUGUAUCUGUACAUGUAAUUAUAUGACGAUUAAACAACAGCUUUCAAUAUUUGUCUACGGGUUAUUCGACGGACAAGGAUUGUCUGCCCUCCACUUCCAGUACCCUCCUGUUUUGUGUGAUCACAGUUAAGCCACGUCAACAUUUUAUAUUAUUUUUUUAUAGAUAGAUAUAAUAAGACA